CAAUAGCGUAUAUUAAAGUUGCUGCAGUUAAAAAGCUCGUAGUUGGAUUUCUAGCGAGGCACGAGAAUAUCCACCUAUGGUGAAUACUUCUCUCGCCUUGCUCUUCUUUAGUUGAUGUCUCUGGCAUUAAGUUGUCGGAGUCCUGAGACUAAUCGUUUACUGUGAGAAAAUUAGAGUGUUCAAAGCAGGCUUAUGCCGUUGAAUAUAUUAGCAUGGAAUAAUAAGAUAGGACUUCGGUACUAUUUUGUUGGUUUGCGUACUGAUGUAAUGAUAAAUAGGGACUGGCGUGGGUAUUCGUAUUUUAAUGUCAGAGGUGAAAUUCUUAGAUUAUUGAAAGACGGACGACUGCGAAAGCAUCUACCAAGUAUGUUUUCAUUAAUCAAGAACGAAAGUAUGGGGAUCGAAGAUGAUUAGAUACCAU
Molecule: ribosomal RNA, 421 nt
Filed under: uncultured eukaryote
Lineage: Eukaryota
Description: SSU rRNA
Rfam family: Eukaryotic small subunit ribosomal RNA
Source: RNAcentral